CCCGGGUCUUGUACACACCGCCCGUCACACCACGAGAGUUUGUAACACCCGAAGCCGGUGGGGUAACCGUAAGGAGCUAGCCGUCUAAGGUGGGAUAGAUGAUUGGGGUGAAGUCGUAACAAGGUAGCCGUAUCGGAAGGUGCGGCUGGAUCACCUCCUUU
This 161-nucleotide ribosomal RNA is filed under the name Carnobacteriaceae bacterium zg-ZUI78. RNAcentral describes it as "partial 16S ribosomal RNA". It matches the Rfam family "Bacterial small subunit ribosomal RNA", at positions 1373 to 1533 of the family's 1533-position model. The record is from RNAcentral. Lineage: Bacteria; Bacillati; Bacillota; Bacilli; Lactobacillales; Carnobacteriaceae.